Molecule: long non-coding RNA, 590 nt
Filed under: Homo sapiens (human)
Lineage: Eukaryota; Metazoa; Chordata; Mammalia; Primates; Hominidae
Description: HSALNT0213133
Source: RNAcentral
GCUUCUGAAUGGUGAAGAGGAGGAGGAAGAAUUCCUGAGAGGGAAAGGCCAGCUUAGAGUCAAACACACUCAGAACAAAGGGAAGGAGAGAAUUGGCUCUUGAGAAACAGCGCUAAGAAUGGCAGCAGAAUGCUCCGUCACUAUAUGCAGAAACAAGACAACUUGAAGCUAAAUGGAAGCCCUGCAGAGUCAACAGGUCCAGAUUCACAGUGCACGCCCUGAGCUACAGCCCCUCCAAAAGGCAUCUUCCCCCAGAGCCUCAAUGCCAAGCAAGGAGCCGUCAAGAGUCUGCCUUGGUUGUUUUGUUCUUUUUACAAACCGUACAGAUAUACAAUUGAUAACUCAGGAUUUCUAGUCAAUAACCAGAUAGUUAACACCACCUUAUUAAAAAAAAAAAAGCCAGAAACAUCUUUAAAUGCCUUGUCACUCCAAUAGCAAAGCGCACAGAAUGAGAACACAAGAGUGCCUUUUCAUUUUAAAAAUGUUUGGAAAUAUGUACAACUUUGAUAGCAUUUCAGAGUGCACCAGACACCACUGCCGCUUCAUGUAUACCACUGACAAUUUCUAGAGCACUUUGAGAGGCUACAAUA